GAAGUCACAGGAAGUGACUAAAAGAAAUGGUCUUCUAAAAUGCCAAGCUCUUCCUGUGAGGAUGCUUUUCUCUUUUUGGUCUUCAACUUGACUUUGGAGGAUCUCCGGCUUGAGAUAUCAGACUGCAUUACUUUGAACUGACACAUGCUCAUGUAAAUUUUCCCAGGAUUUUUCUGAAACCAUCCUCUCAUCAUGUCUUAUAACACAACAGAAUUCCAUCACAAUCGUAUACCACAAUUUGUUUAGCCAUCUCUACCUGAUGAGCAUCCCUUCAGUUUCCAAUUCUUUACCACCACAAAAUGAGGUGAUCUUCAGAAUCUUCCCAAGACAAUUCAAAUGGAUAUGAUUCAGUUUCCUGGCACAGCACUGGUAUACUCUCCAGAUUUCAGAGGCAUACAACAAUGAAGUCAGCUUCAGUUUGGGAAAAUCUUCACAUGCCUGGAGAAUACACCUUCCUAACUCACCAACCAGUGUGAGGUCCAUAAAUUACUCUCAAUAUGGCGAAUAGUUCCUCUGCUGAGACAGUUUACCAUGGUGUGGCUUCUUGGAGCCACAGGUGAGUGCUGGGUGGCAGGUGGAUACCAAAGGAGGAAAGCAGCCCUCAAAAGGGCUCAGCAAAAA
Monodelphis domestica (gray short-tailed opossum) is the source of this 621-nucleotide non-coding RNA. The record is from RefSeq and is a predicted model, not a curated record. Lineage: Eukaryota; Metazoa; Chordata; Mammalia; Didelphimorphia; Didelphidae.